Macrobrachium nipponense is the source of this 1768-nucleotide long non-coding RNA. RefSeq lists it as uncharacterized. The transcript has 7 exons. NCBI's taxonomy places the organism in Eukaryota, Metazoa, Arthropoda, Malacostraca, Decapoda, Palaemonidae. The record is from RefSeq and is a predicted model, not a curated record.
CUGAGGCAUCGAGCCGUUAUAGAGGCAAUGUCUAAAGCCUUGAAUACAGGGCUGUCAGUCUCCGUCAAAGGUAACAAUGUUUGCAGUAAUGCCUCCAAGUUCAUUUGCAUUCAAGUAUUUGACUGGGAAACCACCUGAUGUACACUAAUAGUACAUUUUCAACAGAAGCUACCACUACUUUUGGGUAAUCCUGGUCGUUAAUUAGUAGUAGUUUCACCGUUCAACACUUACUACUAGGUCAGAGUUGUUUUGGUUCGGUUCCUUAGGGGCUAUUGGUGGUGACCUGGACGAGAUGCUUUUAGGCCAGAGUGUUGGCAACUCUAUUGGUACCAGUAAGCACAAGGAAGGGUGUCCAGAAACAACCUUUCUAGGUUAUCGUGUUUUAUGCAGUAACCAAAUGAUCUUAACUCUCAUGGCAAAGUGGACAGUCGUACAGUUCACGCAAGAGCAUAUAAAGUCACGGGGUAAUCUACAAAGAUGUCUUCAACACAAGCGAUUUAUGAACUACUUGUAGACUGGUUUGGACAAUCAACAGGGUAAUCUACAAAAAUGGACCCAAAAACCAAUUUUCCUGAUUCUACAUACCAGUAAAUAAAGCUGAAUACAUGUUGGAUUGGGUGCAGAUGCAAUGCUGAUACAGUGCAUGCAAGAGCACAUAAUAUUAGGAGUUUAGGCUUACCCUCGCUUUCAGAAGAACUUGUCAAUCAGUUCACAGGAUUUUGAAGGCAGGUACUAUAUCAUGCACAAAAGUCUGUUCCCUUAGCCAUCAAGAGAGUGAACAUGAAUCCACUCCACUGAAUAUGAAACACUCAAGCAGUUGAACAAGUAACUAAUGGAAUACCCAAUAGAAGUCGCAACAUAAGGGCAUAUGUGAACAGGGAGGAGGAGUCACAGGAAGCAGGUAUUCCCCCAGUGGCUGUGGUUAUACCUGUAGCUGAGCAAGCAUCUGUGACUUCUAGCCUUUCAGCUUCAACCCUCCAAUGUGCAAAUUGAGUGUGAGGAAAGGCAUCAUACAAAUGAGAUGGUUUCAUUUUCUUACAAUGCAUCAUUGCUAUUAAAAAUUUGAAUGAAUUACAUGACAAAAUGUCUUAAAAGUUUAUAAAUAGUAUAAUAAAUUUUAAAUAUAAACAUGUUUUCUAUAAUUUUGUUUUUAAAUAUGCCAAUAUAAUGUGGACCUUCAUGCACUGCUGGAAAAUGUCACUCCUGCUAAAUGGAAAUCACAAUAGCCUGAUGUAAUUUUCCUCUAAGAUUUAACAGCCGAUAUUAAGUAUCUGUCCGAUUUCCUAAUAAUUUACAUUAUAUUGAAAUUUAAAACUAAUCAUAUAAUUGAAUAAUUUCAUAUACUACUAGUCCCAGAAUAUUUUGAAAAAUUUCAACUUACUUGAGGGUGUUAUCAACAACUCCAUAAGGAUCUGAAGGGGGAGCCAUCUUACAAGAUCCUGCUAUGUGGUAUGUGGUGGCUGAUAGAUGCCGUACCACACAUUCCCAAUAUGCAUCAGAGUCUUUUGCUUCUCUCUCACAUCCUGGUAACGUCUGUGGCGAAGUGAAAUUUUGACAUUAGAACAGCACAUCAAGUUUGUAAUUUGCCAAAGUGCCACAAACAGAGUCAGUCAGCUGGAUCACUUGAUACUGUCAAGUUUUGUCAAAAUGAGUUUCAAAAGGUCUAAAUAUCUCAAAAAGUUUAGCACAUACCUCUGUUGAUGAUCAACAAAAUUCUCAGGAACACAUACGUCCAUGUAAAAGGUACAAAUACAGUGGCUUGUCUUCU